GUCUAUGCCCACGCCGCCCUGAAGUGCCCGAUCCUGUCUGAUCUCGGAAGCUCAGCAGGGUCAGGCCUGGUUAGUACUUGGAUGGGAGACCACCUAGGAAGACCAGGUGCUGUAGGUG
RNAcentral lists this ribosomal RNA (118 nucleotides) under Pteropus alecto (black flying fox). Lineage: Eukaryota; Metazoa; Chordata; Mammalia; Chiroptera; Pteropodidae. The record is from RNAcentral.